This 274-nucleotide ribosomal RNA is filed under the name uncultured bacterium. RNAcentral describes it as "partial 16S ribosomal RNA". The record is from RNAcentral.
CUGCUGCCUUCCGUAGGAGUUUGGUCCGUGUCUCAGUACCAGUGUGGGGGACCUUCCUCUCAGAACCCCUACGCAUCGUCGGUUAGGUGGCCGUUACCCCGCCUACUGCCUAAUGCGCCGCAUGCCCAUCCCUGUCCGGCCGAAGCCUUUCCUGCCUCCGGGAUGCCCCGGUGGCAUGUACGCGGGUUUAGCCCGCCUUUCGGCGGUUGUCCCCCUGACAGGGGCAGGUUGCAUACGUGUUACUCACCCGUGCGCCGGUCGCCGGCGGAGAAAG